UUGACGGUACCCUACUAGAAAGGAGCCGCUAACUUCGUGCCAGAAGCGUCGGUAAUACGGGGGCUCCAAGCGUUAUCCGGUGUUAUUGGGCGUAAAGAGUCGUGUAGGUGGUUGGGUAAGUUAUCUUUCAAAUAUCUUUGCUUAACAAAGAGGAGGGGGAUAAUACUGCUCGACUAGAAUUUUCUCAAGGGAGAUCGGAACUGAGGGAGGAGUAGUGAAAUGCGUUGAUACCCUCGGGAACACCAGUGGCGUAGGCGGAUCUCUGGGAGAAGAUUGACACUGAGACACGAAAGCUAGGGGAGCGAAGCAGAUUAGAGACCUGCGUAGUCCUAGCCGUAUACGCAUGCUUGCUAGCUGCAUGAAUCUACCUUCGGGUGGUAUCGUGUGGCGAAGGUAACCCGUUAAGCAAGCCGCCUGGAAAGUACGGCCGCAAGGCUGAAAUUCAAAGGAAUUGGCGGGGAGGCACACAACCAGUGGAACAUGUGGUUUAAUUCGAGACUAACCGAAGAACCUCACCAGGGUUUGACAUGUAGCUGCACGUCUUAAGAAAUUAAGACUCUCUUGAAGGUGCUACACAGGUGCUGCAUGGCUGUCGUCAGCUCGUUCCGUGAGGAGUGCCCUUAAGUGGGACAACGAGCGCAACCCCUAUUACAUGUUAGAAAUGUCAUGUAAGACUGCCUUGCCAUUUGGCGGGGAGGAAGGAGGGGCAGACGUCAAGUCCGCAUGGUCCUUAUGCCCUGGGCUACACACAUGUUACAAUGAGUACGGCAAUGAGUCUGUCGCGAGCACGUAAGUGUAAGCUAAUCUCUUAAAUGUACUCUCAGUGGGGAUUGAGGUCUGCAACUCGACCUCAUGAACACGGAAUUGGUAGUAAUCGCGGGUCAGCUAUACCGCGGUGAUACGUUCUUGCCUCUUGCACACACCGCCCGUCAAACCAGCAAAGU
RNAcentral lists this ribosomal RNA (944 nucleotides) under uncultured organism. RNAcentral's name for it is "bacterial SSU rRNA". It matches the Rfam family "Bacterial small subunit ribosomal RNA", at positions 469 to 1411 of the family's 1533-position model. The record is from RNAcentral.